RNAcentral lists this ribosomal RNA (1087 nucleotides) under Plasmodium ovale (malaria parasite P. ovale). Its description in RNAcentral is "SSU rRNA". It matches the Rfam family "Eukaryotic small subunit ribosomal RNA", at positions 604 to 1460 of the family's 1831-position model. The record is from RNAcentral. Lineage: Eukaryota; Apicomplexa; Aconoidasida; Haemosporida; Plasmodiidae.
UUAAAAUUGUUGCAGUUAAAACGCUCGUAGUUGAAUUUCAAAGAGUCAUGGCGUUUCUGAGGUGCUCCUUGGUCGAUCUGCCCAGCACUGACUCUAUGAUUUUAUUGUAGAGCAGUGUGACUGGGUGUUCGAUUUCAAGAAAGUGUCUCCUUUACAAAGUGAUUUUUCUAAGGGUCUCUUGAGUACCAGUCCUUGGGAGGUUCUUUUUACCUUGAGUAAAUUAGAGUGUUUAAAGCAAACAGAUAGAACAGUUUACUGUGUUUAAAUACUACAGCAUGGAAUAAUAAUAUCGAAUGAGCCGACGUACUUUUCGUUUCUUUGUUAUUUUGGCUUAGUUACGAUUAACAGGAAUAGUUGGGGGCAUUUGUAUUCAGAUGUCAGAGGUGAAAUUCUAAGAUUAUCUGGAGACGAACAAUUGCGAAAGCAUCUGUCUAACAUAUUUUCAUUAAUCAAGAACGAAAGUUAAGGGAGUGAAGACGAUCAGAUACCGUCGUAAUCUUAACCAUAAACUAUGCCAACUAUGUUUUGGAUGUAUGAGAAAAAGAUGGAAUACUUUGUUUUACGACAUUGUCAUUCCAUUUAUGCUUCAUUCAGUACCUUAGAGAAAUCAAAGUCUUUGGGUUCUGGGGCGAGUAUUCGCGCAAGCGAGAAAGUUAAAAGAAUUGACGGAAGGGCACCACCAGACGUGGAGCUUGCGGCUUAAUUUGACUCAACACGGGAAAACUCACUAGUAUAAGACAAGAGUAGGAUUGACAGAUUAAUAGCCCUUUCUUGAUUUCUUGGAUGGUGAUGCAUGGCCGUUUUUAGUUCGUGAAUAUGAUUCGUCUGGUUAAUUCCGAUAACGAACGAGACCUUAACCUGCUAGUUAGCGGCCGGUAUGUCGCGAAUUUAUCAAAAUCUUAUCUCGUAGGCUGGAUUAUUUUUAGAAGAUAUGACGGAUAACCGAGUCGAGUGUCGUCCCCAUCACUGUUCUAUUAAUUCGCAGUCUGUCCUGGUUUUUUUUUAGGUAAGUAUGUAUCCGCUUGAAUGUAAGCUUCUUAGAGGUACGAUGUGUGCUUAACACAAGGAAGUUUAAGGCAACAACAGG